Long non-coding RNA from Oryzias melastigma (Indian medaka), 1230 nucleotides. RefSeq lists it as uncharacterized. The transcript has 2 exons. The record is from RefSeq and is a predicted model, not a curated record. NCBI's taxonomy places the organism in Eukaryota, Metazoa, Chordata, Actinopteri, Beloniformes, Adrianichthyidae.
AGCUGCUGGGCUGCGACUGCAGAGGAGUGUUGGUGUCAUCGACAGAUGGAGAAAGAGAGGGACUGUCACACACUCGUUCCUGAGGAGACGGAGGGAGGUUUUUAUUCCGUCCCCCCCCAUGGACACAUGUGGAGAUGCUCCAUUACUUCAGCCUCAUUCUUUACCCCCUAACCCUCUGACCUCUACCCCCCUCACCACCACCUAAAAGCUGACCCCACCCCUUCAGACGGUCACAUUAAAGCCCAUCCUCGAUCGGCCCGACACACGGACUCGCACAUGCACGUCUGCUUUCAUUGCAAUGAAACAAUAACGCUGAUUGCUGUUGUCGUGGAGACUGAAGUGAUGGAAUAAUCAAUGUGAGUGUUUGGAGCUUCCUGCUGUCCGGUGUGAGUGUGCAGAAACAUGACUUCUGCAGCAAGAAAAACAGCCGCUAUCUCUUUAGAUAUGUGUGUGUGUCUGUGUGCAUGUGUGUGUUGAUGAAUUGAGUCAUUUAGUAGAGUGUGCGCUGAUUAAUCUAGGCGGAGUGUUAAUACAGGAGAUGGCGACAGAUUAAAUGGCGCACAUUAACAAAUAUUGCCGUCCUUUCCUGAGCGCCAUGGAGACGUGUGUGUUUGUGUGUCCUCUCUUGUGUCUUUCCAAACACUCGGUGUGUUCUUACUGUUGGCCAGUAGCUGCUGCUGCUGCAGUUGUUGCUGAUUGACAGCGCCGAGGCCAGGACCCCUCCCCGCGCCUCCUGCCGCGCUCCCGCCUCCUCCGGCUCCUCCUCCCGCCGCCGGCGCGGCUCCUCCGCCUCCUCCUCCGGGGCCUCCGCCGUGGGCUCCAGCAGGGGGGCUGGUCAGACGCUCCUUAUCCCAGGAACACUCGCUCCCUCCUGGGUGGAGGUGCAGACAUUUAUCAGUCACUGUUGACUUUUUGUGUCGCUAAAACGUUUCAGUUAAACGAGAAACGAACGACUUCCUUUAAACUGUUACUGUAUCCCCAUCAUAUCAAAUAAAUAAAGAGCUUGCUGAUUUUGUAAAACAGGUUUGCAUGGGGAAAAUUCACUUUUUGAUUAUUUUCAGCCAAAAACAAAAAACAGAGAUGUAGGUGGAGGCAUCAUGAUGAUAUGGGCUCAUUCCUCACAAUCUUUGGACUUUAGAGUCAAAAAAGUAAGACACAAUCACAUUUAUUUCCUCAAGUAAAAUACAUUAUUUUAAAAUAAAAAAAUUAAUUAAAUGCAAAAAAUAAAAA